CACCUGCAUGCACAGUGGGCAAAGCUCCGCCAGCUGCCAUCAGGGCACUCAGGCAGGAGAACCGGACGAUCUGAGGGAACUUUCUGCGUUGCCAAGAUGAGGCCCAGCCUUGCACACAGCCUUCAGAUUGCAAACAAGGAAAUGAAGAACAGAAAAAUUUGAGGCAGAGGUGGGCCUUGAAGUGCGCCUUUCUUCCCACUGAGAACCAUACACAGGCCACCGUUUUCAUGGUCUGAGGAUGACAGGAAGUGCUCUGCAUCUCAUUUAUAAGAGGUCUGGGAGUCCCUUUGAAGGAAGUUGGGAAAGACCAUUCUGCUGGGUUGUUCCCCCCCCCCUUCCUUCAGGUGAACAAAGGGUAAAGACUGUCAAGGAACCCUGCCCACUUUGUCACAGCUCUCAAAAGAACCAGAGGAUUCCUAACCUGCUGGGACCU
RNAcentral lists this long non-coding RNA (433 nucleotides) under Rattus norvegicus (Norway rat). RNAcentral's name for it is "long non-coding RNA NONRATT001813". The record is from RNAcentral. Lineage: Eukaryota; Metazoa; Chordata; Mammalia; Rodentia; Muridae.